UCCACAGAAACAUGUAGGUAUUGAAGC
Molecule: non-coding RNA, 27 nt
Filed under: Mus musculus (house mouse)
Lineage: Eukaryota; Metazoa; Chordata; Mammalia; Rodentia; Muridae
Source: RNAcentral